GCGGCGAUGGCGAAAUUGGUAGACGCACUACCUUGAGGUGGUAGCGCCUGAAAGGGUGUGGCGGUUCGAAUCCGCUUUGCCGCACAA
RNAcentral lists this transfer RNA (87 nucleotides) under Chitinophagaceae bacterium. RNAcentral's name for it is "tRNA-Leu". It matches the Rfam family "tRNA". From Rfam's summary of the family: Transfer RNA (tRNA) molecules are approximately 80 nucleotides in length. Lineage: Bacteria; Pseudomonadati; Bacteroidota; Chitinophagia; Chitinophagales; Chitinophagaceae. The record is from RNAcentral.